CACGUAGGCACCAAGCGUUGUCCGGAUUUAUUGGGCGUAAAGAGCUCGUAGGCGGUUCGGUAAGUCGGAUGUGAAAACUUUGGGCUCAACCCAAAGCGUGCAUUCGAUACUGCCGUGACUCGAGUCCGGUAGGGGAGUGUGGAAUUCCCGGUGUAGCGGUGAAAUGCGCAGAUAUCGGGAGGAACACCAGUGGCGAAGGCGGCACUCUGGGCCGGUACUGACGCUGAGGAGCGAAAGCGUGGGGAGCGAACAGG
This 254-nucleotide ribosomal RNA is filed under the name uncultured bacterium. RNAcentral describes it as "partial 16S ribosomal RNA". It matches the Rfam family "Bacterial small subunit ribosomal RNA", at positions 524 to 776 of the family's 1533-position model. The record is from RNAcentral.